This 719-nucleotide ribosomal RNA is filed under the name Salmonella enterica subsp. enterica serovar Infantis. RNAcentral's name for it is "partial 23S ribosomal RNA". It matches the Rfam family "Bacterial large subunit ribosomal RNA", at positions 2084 to 2802 of the family's 2925-position model. The record is from RNAcentral. Lineage: Bacteria; Pseudomonadati; Pseudomonadota; Gammaproteobacteria; Enterobacterales; Enterobacteriaceae.
AAAGACCCCGUGAACCUUUACUAUAGCUUGACACUGAACAUUGAGCCUUGAUGUGUAGGAUAGGUGGGAGGCUUUGAAGCGUGGACGCCAGUCUGCGUGGAGCCGACCUUGAAAUACCACCCUUUAAUGUUUGAUGUUCUAACGUGGAUCCGUAAUCCGGGUUGCGGACAGUGUCUGGUGGGUAGUUUGACUGGGGCGGUCUCCUCCUAAAGAGUAACGGAGGAGCACGAAGGUUGGCUAAUCCUGGUCGGACAUCAGGAGGUUAGUGCAAUGGCAUAAGCCAGCUUGACUGCGAGCGUGACGGCGCGAGCAGGUGCGAAAGCAGGUCAUAGUGAUCCGGUGGUUCUGAAUGGAAGGGCCAUCGCUCAACGGAUAAAAGGUACUCCGGGGAUAACAGGCUGAUACCGCCCAAGAGUUCAUAUCGACGGCGGUGUUUGGCACCUCGAUGUCGGCUCAUCACAUCCUGGGGCUGAAGUAGGUCCCAAGGGUAUGGCUGUUCGCCAUUUAAAGUGGUACGCGAGCUGGGUUUAGAACGUCGUGAGACAGUUCGGUCCCUAUCUGCCGUGGGCGCUGGAGAACUGAGGGGGGCUGCUCCUAGUACGAGAGGACCGGAGUGGACGCAUCACUGGUGUUCGGGUUGUCAUGCCAAUGGCACUGCCCGGUAGCUAAAUGCGGAAGAGAUAAGUGCUGAAAGCAUCUAAGCACGAAACUUGCCCCGA